AGUGAACGCUGGCGGUAGGCCUAACACAUGCAAGUCGAACGGCAGCACAGUAAGAGCUUGCUCUUACGGGUGGCGAGUGGCGGACGGGUGAGGAAUACAUCGGAAUCUACUUUUUCGUGGGGGAUAACGUAGGGAAACUUACGCUAAUACCGCAUACGACCUACGGGUGAAAGCAGGGGAACUUCGGACCUUGCGCGAUUGAAUGAGCCGAUGUCGGAUUAGCUAGUUGGCGGGGUAAAGGCCCACCAAGGCGACGAGCCGUAGCUGGACGGAGAGGAUGAUCAGCCACACUGGAACUGAGACACGGUCCUGACGCCUACGAGAGGCAGCAGUGUGGAAUAUUGGACAAUGGGCGCAAGCCUGAUCCAGUCAUACCGCGUGGGUGAAGAAGGCCUUCGGGUUGUAAAGCCCUUUUGUUGGGAAAGAAAAGCAGCAGGUUAAUACCCCGCUGUUCUGACGGUACCCAAAGAAUAAGCACCGGCUAACUUCGUG
RNAcentral lists this ribosomal RNA (492 nucleotides) under uncultured bacterium. RNAcentral's name for it is "partial 16S ribosomal RNA". It matches the Rfam family "Bacterial small subunit ribosomal RNA", at positions 29 to 507 of the family's 1533-position model. The record is from RNAcentral.